AGAAGCAGAACCGAGUCGUAUGUGUGGAGGGACAGUAACUGUGUGUGUAUAUAAAAAGGUGUGAUCCUGGAGAUCCCUGCACUUCCUGUGACAACAGGAAGUGAUGUUACUCUGCGUUGCAGACAGAUCAAUGGUGACUUGGUGGCAGCUUACUUCUUCUUCAGUGGACGUCUUCUUGGAUCUGGAUAUAAAGAGCACACCAUCUCCAACGUGCAGCAGUCUAAUAAGGGGGUGUACUGGUGUGCUACUGAUCUAGCUGGACCAUCUCCUCAAAGCUUCCUAAAGAUCACAGAUUCACCUACAACUGCUUUCAGAUCUUCUGUGGCUUCUCCUCAUCUUGAAACCAUGCCCUCCAGCUCCUCUCUUCCCUCUUUUUCUCAUCCAACUAGCUCUUCCUCACCUCCUCCUCCUUCUCUUCAACCUCCUCCUUCCUCUCUGUCUGUGUUCCGACUUCUCUUACACCUGCUGGUCUUCUGUCCAUACUUCAUCAUCACGGGUCUGCUGCUGUCCAUCUGCUUGGAUCAGAUCUACACCACACGCUCAGGAAAUAGACUUGUCGUUUCCAUGGAGAUGACUCACCAGGUUGGACAGAAUGAGGAUAUUGCCGUUGAUAUCACCACUGAGCAUGACUUCUCAUCUGAAGCAAAGUGACCUGAAACACGUCACUCUUCUUGAACUCUGAGGAAGCUUUAUCACAAGCAAGCAGAGAGAGAGGGAGAGAGAGAGAAAGAGAGAGAGAGAACAUCACUCCAGAAGCUUCGGCUUCUCAUUUCUCAGAAGGAAAAUGUAAUUCUGGUUUCCCCUUGUUCACUUCCUUUCUUUUGAUUCGACUGAAAAUGUGUUGUUUCACGCCUUUUUUUUUCACAUUUUUGUUUUUUCAACACAGUCAGCCUGAGGAGGCUUUAAUUCAUGUGUUAUUUGUGAUGGUAAAUCAGGUUCAGCUUAAAUCGGACAAAUUCAGUAUUAGGAAUCUGCCUCAUUAUGUAAAGUAAUUUAUGUAUAUAAUGAAAUAGAUCCAACAUCUUUCUUUAACAUAAUUGCAGACUGAAAAGAUGAUGCCUUCCCAAAAGAAAAAGUACUGUAGGUACUACUAUUACUAGGGUAUAUUACUAGACUUAAUAUGUACUACUAUACAGUUUACAAAAAUUAAAAAAUAAAAUAAAAGC
Oreochromis aureus is the source of this 1166-nucleotide long non-coding RNA. RefSeq lists it as uncharacterized. The record is from RefSeq and is a predicted model, not a curated record. NCBI's taxonomy places the organism in Eukaryota, Metazoa, Chordata, Actinopteri, Cichliformes, Cichlidae. The transcript is spliced from 4 exons.